CAGCAGCCACGGGAACACGUAGGGUGCGAGCGUUGUCCGGAAUUACUGGGCGUAAAGGGCUCGUAGGUGGUUUGUCGCGUCGUCUGUGAAAUUCCGGGGCUUAACUCCGGGCGUGCAGGCGAUACGGGCAUAACUUGAGUACUGCAGGGGUAACUGGAAUUCCUGGUGUAGCGGUGAAAUGCGCAGAUAUCAGGAGGAACACCGAUGGCGAAGGCAGGUUACUGGGCAGUUACUGACGCUGAGGAGCGAAAGCAUGGGUAGCGAACAGGAUUAGAUACCCCAGUAGUCCCUGUCUCUUAUA
Molecule: ribosomal RNA, 301 nt
Filed under: uncultured bacterium
Lineage: Bacteria
Description: partial 16S ribosomal RNA
Rfam family: Bacterial small subunit ribosomal RNA
Source: RNAcentral